Molecule: non-coding RNA, 526 nt
Organism: Electrophorus electricus (electric eel)
Lineage: Eukaryota; Metazoa; Chordata; Actinopteri; Gymnotiformes; Gymnotidae
Source: RefSeq, a predicted model, not a curated record
CAGAACUACGCCUGGUUUAAAGAAGGAGGAACCUCACCUGUAGGAUCUGGACAGACAUACAACAUCACCAUCAGCUCUAAUAGCAGCGGCUGGUAUUACUGUGUAGCUCAGAAUGAACACGGGAUGCUGAAAUCAGCUUCCAUAGAUGCCACUUUAAAGGGUCACUUCUACAUUUUGCCUAUAGCUGUUGGAGUCGGCCUCUUUGGAGGCAAGAGGCAAAAGAGAAAUACAGAUGAAUCUGAUUAUGGGAACGCCGGCCUCAACCCCUGUCAUACCUGUGACACUUCCACAUCCAGCUCUCCUGUGUAUGAGAAUACUGCAGACUUAAGGAAACAUCACUAAGAGAAUCAUCACUGAGAAAUUAAACUUGCAGCUGUAUCCCAAUGCAGUCAAAAGAGUGAGAGAUAUAGAGGGGAAGAGAGAUGCAUGAUCACAUGUAGAGAAGAGUGUUCAGUUAAUCAACAGUAAAAAAUGUAAUCCACUGCAAAAAAUGUUGCAGCCUUUCAUUUUUUUUUUUUUUGUACUG